AUACUCCCUAGUGACCGAUAGUGAACCAGUACCGUGAGGGAAAGGUGAAAAGCACCCCGGAAGGGGAGUGAAAUAGAUCCUGAAACCGUGUGCCUACAACAAGUUAGAGCCCGUUAAUGGGUGAUAGCGUGCCUUUUGUAGAAUGAACCGGCGAGUUACGAUAGCAUGCGAGGUUAAGUUGAAGAGACGGAGCCGCAGCGAAAGCGAGUCUGAAUAGGGCGAAUGAGUAUGUUGUCGUAGACCCGAAACCAUGUGAUCUACCCAUGUCCAGGUUGAAGGUGCGGUAAAACGCACUGGAGGACCGAACCCACGUACGUUGAAAAGUGCGGGGAUGAGGUGUGGGUAGCGGAGAAAUUCCAAACGAACUUGGAGAUAGCUGGUUCUCUCCGAAAUAGCUUUAGGGCUAGCCUCGGAAUUGAGAAUGAUGGAGGUAGAGCACUGUUUGGACUAGGGGCCCAUCUCGGGUUACCGAAUUCAGAUAAACUCCGAAUGCCAUUCAUUCAUAUCCGGGAGUCAGACUGUGAGUGAUAAGAUCCAUAGUCGAAAGGGAAACAGCCCAGACCACCAGCUAAGGUCCCCAAAUAACUAUUAAGUGGAAAAGGAUGUGGGGUUGCACAGACAACUAGGAUGUUGGCUUAGAAGCAGCCACCAUUUAAAGAGUGCGUAAUAGCUCACUAGUCGAGUGACCCUGCGCCGAAAAUGUACCGGGGCUAAAUAGUUUACCGAAGCUGUGGAGUGCACCAUCAGGUGCAUUGGUAGGAGAGCGU
Molecule: ribosomal RNA, 767 nt
Filed under: Listeria monocytogenes
Lineage: Bacteria; Bacillati; Bacillota; Bacilli; Caryophanales; Listeriaceae
Description: partial 23S ribosomal RNA
Rfam family: Bacterial large subunit ribosomal RNA
Source: RNAcentral